CAGCCGUAAACAAUGUGCGUUAGGUAUGUCGGUAACCACGUGUUACUGAUGUGCCGAAGAGAAAUCGUGAAACGCACCACCUGGGAAGUACGGUCGCAAGGCUGAAACUUAAAGGAAUUGGGCGGGGGGAGGCACCGCAACGGGAGGAGCGUGCGGUUUAAUUUGGAUUCAACACCGUAAACUACACCAGGGAAGGACUGUUACAUGAAGGCCGAGAUGAAGACUCUGCUAGAUUUUCUAGAGAGGUGGUGCAUGGCGUCAGUGACU
This 267-nucleotide ribosomal RNA is filed under the name uncultured archaeon. RNAcentral describes it as "partial 16S ribosomal RNA". It matches the Rfam family "Archaeal small subunit ribosomal RNA", at positions 748 to 1008 of the family's 1478-position model. The record is from RNAcentral.